GAUGAAGAACGUAGCAAAAUGCGAUAAGUAAUGUGAAUUGCAGAAUUCAGUGAAUCAUCGAAUCUUUGAACGCACAUUGCGCCCGCCAGUAUUCUGGCGGGCAUGCCUGUUCGAGCGUCAUUUCAACCCUCAAGCACAGCUUGGUGUUGGGACUCGCGUUAAUUCGCGUUCCUCAAAUUGAUUGGCGGUCACGUCGAGCUUCCAUAGCGUAGUAGUAAAACCCUCGUUACUGGUAAUCGUCGCGGCAACGCCGUUAAACCCCAACUUCUGAAUGUUGACCUCGGAUCAGGUAGGAAUACCCGCUGAACUUAAGCAUAUCAAUAAGCGGAGGA
This 332-nucleotide unclassified non-coding RNA is filed under the name soil metagenome. Its description in RNAcentral is "partial contains 5.8S ribosomal RNA, internal transcribed spacer 2, and large subunit ribosomal RNA". The stretch from base 1 to 120 matches the Rfam family "5.8S ribosomal RNA", at positions 35 to 154 of the family's 154-position model. The record is from RNAcentral.